This 203-nucleotide unclassified non-coding RNA is filed under the name Hevea brasiliensis (rubber tree). Lineage: Eukaryota; Viridiplantae; Streptophyta; Magnoliopsida; Malpighiales; Euphorbiaceae. The record is from RNAcentral.
ACUAGGGAGUUGGCUUACCAGAUAUGUCACGAGUUUGAGAGGUUCAGUACGUACUUGCCAGAUACCAAGGUUGCUGUAUUUUAUGGUGGUGUCAAUAUCAAAAUUCACAAAGAUCUAUUGAAAAAUGAAUGCCCACAUAUUGUUGUUGGGACACCUGGAAGAAUACUAGCGCUAGCGAGAGAUAAGGAACUUUCAUUGAAGAA